RNAcentral lists this long non-coding RNA (1290 nucleotides) under Bos indicus x Bos taurus (hybrid cattle). RNAcentral's name for it is "lncRNA (ENSBIXG00005011706.1)". Lineage: Eukaryota; Metazoa; Chordata; Mammalia; Artiodactyla; Bovidae. The record is from RNAcentral.
CCCUCCCUCUCCCUCCCUCCGAGCCCAGACCCAGAGACCCCGGGGCCCAGACGGACUCCAGUGACAGACGCCGACAGACGGACAGACACGCGCUGACAGACACGACCGCAAGAGCCUCAGCGGCGGAGCAGACACCCACAGGGACAGGCAGAGGGACAGAAGAAGCCCGCGGAGACAGACACGUGUGGACGGCCUCCUGCAGUGACAGCCGGAGACAAACGCAGUGACCGACACUCACGGACGGACGGACGGACACACUUGGACAAGUCGGGGCUGGGGGCCGAAUAAAUGAGCAUCCCUGGCCACGACAGCGCAGGGGUGGCGGGAGGACCAGCAUGCGAAAACUUGGCUGACGACCCUCUAAGGGGGCCGGGUAACACUAGUGCAGGAAAGGUGACACCUGUGGGAAUGAGGCUGUGAACAGAUCAGAACGCGAUAGGAAGUGGACCCCUGAAGAGGGAGGAGACCCCUCGCGGGAGGGAGAGGUGACCCCGGGACGCCCGACAAGGAAGGCCAAUGUGGUGGCAACGCGAAGAGGCUGCGGGGCGAGGCAGCAUUCCGCCGCCGCCGCCGCCGCAGUGGAAACUUCCGGAACCCCCGCGGGUGGGUUCGCGCCGGUUCCCUGACGGGUGACCUCGGACUUUCGUCACGAGGGUCCGCUCGGGGCAUGACAUCACCAGGCCAGGCUCUCAUUGGUCGCCGCGGCCGGCAGGUGGGAGCGGCCUGGCCCGGGCGCCCCUAGCCGGGUCGGAGGGGCUUGAGCCGCACAGACCACCCGCCCCCCUCCCCCCCAGCCAGGUCCCGCCCUAUAGGGAGUCACCCAAGGGGACUGUGCGGCCACGGCGGCGUCCCCGCGCCCGAGGUGAGGUGGAAAAAGUGGGCAGCGGUGUGCUCACGCGAGCGCGCCGCACGUAAGCCCCUUCCUCUCCUGGGGCCGCCGGCUCGGGAGCCCGCUCACUGCGUGGGAGAACGGCCGACGCGGGCGAGCUUCGGGGUCCUGGUUUCAAACAGGCUCCAGCCAACCCUGAUGAUGGCUUUGGUUUAAAUGUUAGCAACGCAUCUUGGCUGACUCCUUGGGAACAGCUGGCGAGGUUGAACGAAGUACCAUCUAUGUCUGACACCCAGGGAGCUCCUGUAAGUAUUCCCAGCUGCUCCUGGCUGCCUGCAGGUAUUAGCCAGCCAGUGAGAGUCAGCCCAAAGCAGAGGUUUCUUGAAUGAACCUGGCUAUGGUCCACCGACACUGAGCAUUGGACCCAAGAGUGGUGCAGAGGACAACAGGGCCUGCUGGGG